Long non-coding RNA from Lactuca sativa (garden lettuce), 355 nucleotides. RefSeq lists it as uncharacterized. NCBI's taxonomy places the organism in Eukaryota, Viridiplantae, Streptophyta, Magnoliopsida, Asterales, Asteraceae. The record is from RefSeq and is a predicted model, not a curated record.
UUUAACGCUACUCCCCACGAAGCGUAUAUAUAUGCAAUUCCCUUUCCCUCGAAAUUCAUCAUCCCUUCCGCCUUUUCUCUCAUUGUUUUCGACGACGAUUAUUUGCCGCCAUAUUUCUCAUCCUUUUUUCAGACGACGAUUAUCUCCGAUCUAUAUCUUCAUUGAACUCUUUCAUCUUUGGAAACUAAAUAUUGCUAGCAGAUGGAGGAGUAUUCCUUUCCUUUUAUGCAAGAGUUAUUUGCUAAUCAAGAUCCCCUGUCAAGUUGAUCUAGGAUUACUAAGCAAUGUUGUCACUAUCACAAUAUCAACAUCAAUCUCGACUGUGAAGACUCUCAAUAUAAGGAUUAUGGUUUGA